Acinonyx jubatus (cheetah) is the source of this 1004-nucleotide long non-coding RNA. RefSeq lists it as uncharacterized. The transcript has 3 exons. NCBI's taxonomy places the organism in Eukaryota, Metazoa, Chordata, Mammalia, Carnivora, Felidae. The record is from RefSeq and is a predicted model, not a curated record.
UGGUGCUGGGCCUCCGAGGCCCAGAAAUGACUGAUGAGGUUUGUGAUCGCUCAGGGCUUAGAGUCUAAUGGGGAAGCUGGCUCGUUGAUAACAUCUGAAAUGGCUUGGUCUCCGCCCUAACGGGGGUACGCUUGGCGUGCUGUAGGGGUUUAGAGGAGGGUGUGAGUCACUGCUUCAUCCAGGUGCUUUGUGCGGCUCCCGGAGGGACGGGAUACACGGCAGGGCUGGAGUUCACCAGGGACGCGGGUCUGCGCAGGGGAGGCAGGAGAUGCGAAUCUCACCCCUCACUACCCUAGGAAGGGGGAAACUGACGCCCAGAGGGGCUGGGCUACAGUCCCUCUGAACCCCGCCCAGGACUCACUCCCCCGCCGCCCCCUGCCCAGCCGGCUCUUUCCGAGCCCCUUGGGCUCUCCCCCUCCUACCGCGCGCGGGUUCCGACCCUGCAGCCGACUUCCAGGCGCUCGGAGGCCCCGCAGCCGCCGGCUCCCAGGCCCUGCUCCGCCGCCGGCCUUCUGGCCCCGCCCCCGGCGCCUCGCUUCGCCAUUGGGUGGUUCGCCAUCCUCGUCGUGGCGGAUUGGCUUCCCCAACCUGUCCGCCCCUCGUACUUCCGGGUUUUCGCGUCAGCCCCUGCUUCCCCGGGAAAGAUGCGCCGUGGGCCACUCCCAUUGGCUGGCUCCUGUGUUGGUCUCGUGCCCGCAGCGGCCAAUAAGCAACAGGCGGGGCGGUGCCCGGGCGAGAGGCGGGAGUAGUGUGCGGAAAACCCGCGCGGGCGCGGAGAUCUGCGGGUAUGAUAGAUGCCGCGGUCGGAAACUGUAAAAUGGGGACAGUGUGAUGACAGUACUUCAUAGAGUUUUAUGUGAGGGCGAAGUGAGAUCCUACAUGUCUGGCACAAAGCUGACGUUUGCUGGUGGGAUGUGAGCAAGGAGCUGCUGUCAGUCAUGCUGGGGAAACACCAACCUGAGAGUGAAGCCGACAGAGAUGAAAAUAGAAAAGAACCCAGUAUU